RNAcentral lists this ribosomal RNA (482 nucleotides) under uncultured bacterium. RNAcentral's name for it is "partial 16S ribosomal RNA". It matches the Rfam family "Bacterial small subunit ribosomal RNA", at positions 30 to 507 of the family's 1533-position model. The record is from RNAcentral.
AUUGAACGCUGGCGGCAUGCCUUACACAUGCAAGUCGAACGGUAACGGGCCUUCGGGUGCCGACGAGUGGCGAACGGGUGAGUAAUACAUCGGAACGUGCCCGAUCGUGGGGGAUAACGAGGCGAAAGCUGUGCUAAUACCGCAUACGAUCUACGGAUGAAAGCAGGGGACCGCAAGGCCUUGCGCGGACGGAGCGGCCGAUGGCAGAUUAGGUAGUUGGUGGGAUAAAAGCUUACCAAGCCGACGAUCUGUAGCUGGUCUGAGAGGAUGAUAAGCCACACUGGGACUGAGACACGGCCCGGACUCCUACGGGAGGCAGCAGUGGGGAAUUUUGGACAAUGGGCGCAAGCCUGAUCCAGCCAUGCCGCGUGCAGGAUGAAGGCCUUCGGGUUGUAAACUGCUUUUGUACGGAACGAAAAGCCUUCUUUUAAUACAGGAGGGUCAUGACGGUACCGUAAGAAUAAGCACCGGCUAACUACGUG